CAGUAGCCGCGGGAAUACGUAGGGUGCAAGCGUUAAUCGGAAUUACUGGGCGUAAAGCGUGCGCAGGCGGUUUGUUAAGACAGAUGUGAAAUCCCCGGGCUCAACCUGGGAACUGCAUUUGUGACUGGCAGGCUAGAGUAUGGCAGAGGGGGGUGGAAUUCCGCGUGUAGCAGUGAAAUGCGUAGAUAUGCGGAGGAACACCGAUGGCGAAGGCAGCCCCCUGGGACAAUACUGACGCUGAGGCACGAAAGCGUGGGGAGCAAACAGGAUUAGAUACCCCCGUAGUCCCUGUCUCUUAUAC
RNAcentral lists this ribosomal RNA (301 nucleotides) under uncultured bacterium. Its description in RNAcentral is "partial 16S ribosomal RNA". It matches the Rfam family "Bacterial small subunit ribosomal RNA", at positions 509 to 807 of the family's 1533-position model. The record is from RNAcentral.